AGGGCGCACGGUGGAUGCCUUGGCACUAGAAGCCGAUGAAGGACGUUACUAACGACGAUAUGCUUUGGGGAGCUGUAAGUAAGCUUUGAUCCAGAGAUUUCCGAAUGGGGAAACCCAGCAUGAGUUAUGUCAUGUUAUCGAUAUGUGAAUACAUAGCAUAUCAGAAGGCACACCCGGAGAACUGAAACAUCUUAGUACCCGGAGGAAGAGAAAGAAAAUUCGAUUCCCUUAGUAGCGGCGAGCGAAACGGGAAGAGCCCAAACCAACAAGCUUGCUUGUUGGGGUUGUAGGACACUCUAUACGGAGUUACAAAGGACGACAUUAGACGAAUCAUCUGGAAAGAUGAAUCAAAGAAGGUAAUAAUCCUGUAGUCGAAAAUGUUGUCUCUCUUGAGUGGAUCCUGAGUACGACGGAGCACGUGAAAUUCCGUUGGAAUCUGGGAGGACCAUCUCCUAAGGCUAAAUACUCUCUAGUGACCGAUAGUGAACCAGUACCGUGAGGGAAAGGUGAAAAGCACCCCGGAAGGGGAGUGAAAUAGAACCUGAAACCGUGUGCUUACAAGUAGUCAGAGCCCGUUAAUGGGUGAUGGCGUGCCUUUUGUAGAAUGAACCGGCGAGUUACGAUUUGAUGCAAGGUUAAGCAGUAAAUGUGGAGCCGUAGCGAAAGCGAGUCUGAAUAGGGCGUUUAGUAUUUGGUCGUAGACCCGAAACCAGGUGAUCUACCCUUGGUCAGGUUGAAGUUCAGGUAACACUGAAUGGAGGACCGAACCGACUUACGUUGAAAAGUGAGCGGAUGAACUGAGGGUAGCGGAGAAAUUCCAAUCGAACCUGGAGAUAGCUGGUUCUCUCCGAAAUAGCUUUAGGGCUAGCCUCAAGUGAUGAUUAUUGGAGGUAGAGCACUGUUUGGACGAGGGGCCCCUCUCGGGUUACCGAAUUCAGACAAACUCCGAAUGCCAAUUAAUUUAACUUGGGAGUCAGAACAUGGGUGAUAAGGUCCGUGUUCGAAAGGGAAACAGCCCAGACCACCAGCUAAGGUCCCAAAAUAUAUGUUAAGUGGAAAAGGAUGUGGCGUUGCCCAGACAACUAGGAUGUUGGCUUAGAAGCAGCCAUCAUUUAAAGAGUGCGUAAUAGCUCACUAGUCGAGUGACACUGCGCCGAAAAUGUACCGGGGCUAAACAUAUUACCGAAGCUGUGGAUUGUCCUUUGGACAAUGGUAGGAGAGCGUUCUAAGGGCGUUGAAGCAUGAUCGUAAGGACAUGUGGAGCGCUUAGAAGUGAGAAUGCCGGUGUGAGUAGCGAAAGACGGGUGAGAAUCCCGUCCACCGAUUGACUAAGGUUUCCAGAGGAAGGCUCGUCCGCUCUGGGUUAGUCGGGUCCUAAGCUGAGGCCGACAGGCGUAGGCGAUGGAUAACAGGUUGAUAUUCCUGUACCACCUAUAAUCGUUUUAAUCGAUGGGGGGACGCAGUAGGAUAGGCGAAGCGUGCGAUUGGAUUGCACGUCUAAGCAGUAAGGCUGAGUAUUAGGCAAAUCCGGUACUCAUUAAGGCUGAGCUGUGAUGGGGAGAAGACAUUGUGUCUUCGAGUCGUUGAUUUCACACUGCCGAGAAAAGCCUCUAGAUAGAAAAUAGGUGCCCGUACCGCAAACCGACACAGGUAGUCAAGAUGAGAAUUCUAAGGUGAGCGAGCGAACUCUCGUUAAGGAACUCGGCAAAAUGACCCCGUAACUUCGGGAGAAGGGGUGCUCUUUAGGGUUAACGCCCAGAAGAGCCGCAGUGAAUAGGCCCAAGCGACUGUUUAUCAAAAACACAGGUCUCUGCUAAACCGUAAGGUGAUGUAUAGGGGCUGACGCCUGCCCGGUGCUGGAAGGUUAAGAGGAGUGGUUAGCUUCUGCGAAGCUACGAAUCGAAGCCCCAGUAAACGGCGGCCGUAACUAUAACGGUCCUAAGGUAGCGAAAUUCCUUGUCGGGUAAGUUCCGACCCGCACGAAAGGCGUAACGAUUUGGGCACUGUCUCAACGAGAGACUCGGUGAAAUCAUAGUACCUGUGAAGAUGCAGGUUACCCGCGACAGGACGGAAAGACCCCGUGGAGCUUUACUGUAGCCUGAUAUUGAAAUUCGGCACAGCUUGUACAGGAUAGGUAGGAGCCUUUGAAACGUGAGCGCUAGCUUACGUGGAGGCGCUGGUGGGAUACUACCCUAGCUGUGUUGGCUUUCUAACCCGCACCACUUAUCGUGGUGGGAGACAGUGUCAGGCGGGCAGUUUGACUGGGGCGGUCGCCUCCUAAAAGGUAACGGAGGCGCUCAAAGGUUCCCUCAGAAUGGUUGGAAAUCAUUCAUAGAGUGUAAAGGCAUAAGGGAGCUUGACUGCGAGACCUACAAGUCGAGCAGGGUCGAAAGACGGACUUAGUGAUCCGGUGGUUCCGUAUGGAAGGGCCAUCGCUCAACGGAUAAAAGCUACCCCGGGGAUAACAGGCUUAUCUCCCCCAAGAGUUCACAUCGACGGGGAGGUUUGGCACCUCGAUGUCGGCUCAUCGCAUCCUGGGGCUGUAGUCGGUCCCAAGGGUUGGGCUGUUCGCCCAUUAAAGCGGUACGCGAGCUGGGUUCAGAACGUCGUGAGACAGUUCGGUCCCUAUCCGGCGUGGGCGUAGGAAAUUUGAGAGGAGCUGUCCUUAGUACGAGAGGACCGGGAUGGACAUACCUCUGGUGUACCAGUUGUCGUGCCAACGGCAUAGCUGGGUAGCUAUGUGUGGACGGGAUAAGUGCUGAAAGCAUCUAAGCAUGAAGCCCCCCUCAAGAUGAGAUUUCCCAACUUCGGUUAU
Molecule: ribosomal RNA, 2815 nt
Filed under: Staphylococcus aureus
Lineage: Bacteria; Bacillati; Bacillota; Bacilli; Caryophanales; Staphylococcaceae
Description: bacterial LSU rRNA
Rfam family: Bacterial large subunit ribosomal RNA
Source: RNAcentral